AUUGAACGCUGGCGGAAUGCUUUACACAUGCAAGUCGAACGGCAGCACGGGAGCUUGCUCCUGGUGGCGAGUGGCGAACGGGUGAGUAAUAUAUCGGAACGUACCGAGUAAUGGGGGAUAACAUAUCGAAAGAUGUGCUAAUACCGCAUACGCCCUGAGGGGGAAAGCGGAGGAUCGUAAGACUUCGCGUUGUUCGAGCGGCCGAUAUCGGAUUAGCUAGUUGGUGAGGUAAAGGCUCACCAAGGCGACGAUCCGUAGCUGGUCUGAGAGGACGACCAGCCACACUGGAACUGAGACACGGUCCAGACUCCUACGGGAGGCAGCAGUGGGGAAUUUUGGACAGUGGGGGCAACCCUGAUCCAGCCAUUCCGCGUGAGUGAAGAAGGCCUUCGGGUUGUAAAGCUCUUUCGCAAGGGAAGAAAACUUAGGCUCUAACAUAGCUUGAGGCUGACGGUACCUUGAUAAGAAGCACCGGCUAACUACGUGCCAGCCGCCGCAGUAA
Molecule: ribosomal RNA, 502 nt
Filed under: uncultured bacterium
Lineage: Bacteria
Description: partial 16S ribosomal RNA
Rfam family: Bacterial small subunit ribosomal RNA
Source: RNAcentral